Molecule: ribosomal RNA, 253 nt
Filed under: uncultured bacterium
Lineage: Bacteria
Description: partial 16S ribosomal RNA
Rfam family: Bacterial small subunit ribosomal RNA
Source: RNAcentral
CACGUAGGGGGCAAGCGUUGUUCGGAAUUACUGGGCGUAAAGGGCAUGUAGGCGGCUUUGUAAGCUUGGCGUGAAAUUCCACGGCUUAACCGUGGGAAUGCGUUGAGAACUGCGAGGCUUGAGUUAUGGAGAGGGAGCUAGAAUUCCUGGUGUAGGGGUGGAAUCUGUAGAGAUCAGGAAGAAUACCAAUGGCGAAGGCAAGCUCCUGGCCAAUGACUGACGCUGAGGUGCGAAAGUGUGGGGAUCAAACAGG